This 165-nucleotide ribosomal RNA is filed under the name uncultured bacterium. RNAcentral describes it as "partial 16S rRNA". It matches the Rfam family "Bacterial small subunit ribosomal RNA", at positions 355 to 511 of the family's 1533-position model. The record is from RNAcentral.
UAGGGAAUCUACGGCAAUGGACGAAAGUCUGGCCGAGCAACGCCGCGUGAGUGAAGAAGGUUUUCGAAUCGUAAAACUCUGUUGGUAGAGAAGAACGUUGGUGAGAGUGGAAAGCUCAUCAAGUGACGGUAACUACCCAGAAAGGGACGGCUAACUACGUGCCAG